GGCUAUUGACUCCAUGAGACAUUCAAAUAUUCCGUUCGCCCAAACUGGGUCGGGGCAACACACGCCCAGCUGCUCUGUGAAAUGAAAUGCAGGUUUGUCAACCGCUGUAGUGACUAGCAAAUUUCUGAAGAUGGCGGCGUUGCAUCUUUGCCUCUUGGUGGACUUUGUACCGAGCCCUCCGGUUGAACCCGUAAGAUUUGAAACCGUGAGGUGUGGGUCCGACACGCCGGCUCGUUUACAUUGGCGUCGAGGAGCGCUUCCCUUCAAUGAGCACCCAAAGUACUUUGAGUGACUCAUGACUUCCUCUUCAGUCUCACCCCCCCCCCAAAAAAAAAAUGAGUAGAUUACUUACACGAGGCAAUAAUUCACAACUUGCUCCUCUUAAGAUCUUACACGAAGGGGGGCGAGCGAGCCCCAUUUAGGCCAUUUCUCUUCACGGGCCUUUUGAAGUUGGCCCUUCCCGAUAAGAGCGGAUGAGUGGCCGAGCAAGAGCGAGUCGCCGUUAAUCAAUGGCUAGACUCGGGAGGCCUAAAGCGCCUGGAAGAGUCCCAGAGUGCUUGAGCGUGCCGGGGGGUCAUUUAUCUGCAACGAUCACCGCGCCACCUUUAAUUGCCUCCUUUGCAUUUAAGCAGCGAACAAAUCAUCGGGACGCGAGAGCAUCAAAAAGCGUCUCCUCCAUCACUUCUCAAGAGAGGCAGGACUCCUUGGCUUGCCCGCCAUGGGGGAGUCUAAUCGCGAGUGGGCUCAGAGGGUGGCGUUGUUUGUCACAGUGCGCCAGCGGCAGCAAAGAGGAAAGGAAGGGGCGGGCCAGCGAGCGGAAGGACGCCAGGAAGCUUCUGGCAUUUUUCUCCUGAGGAUUGAGACUCAAAGCCGAGACGUUUUCCUCAUCUCGGAGAUUGGCCGUCCAAACGUCAGCCCAGAUAGAGCAGCGUGACUCGAUUAGUCUCCCUGUUUGAAAAGAGAAGCUGCUGCCAUCCUGAGUGGCUGCCGGCCGGUGGGGGAGAAAUCAAGGAUGGCUAAAAAUAGCCCCGAAGCGUUUUUUUUUUUUUUUUUUGAGCGGAACACACUGUUACGCAGCGGCCGAGACACCCACAUAUUAAUUAUAAUAUGCUCUAGGAAGCUGAGGAUUGUCAAGAAGGGAGGGAGGGAGCAAGCUUGACGGAUCAUGUUUGUUGCACCACCUGGCGGCCGCCAACAAAUACCAAGCGCCAACGCACAGCCCUGCUUUGAUUUGACAUAAUAAAAGGCUCCAAAGCCAUCCAAGCCUGCGGUGGCGUCAAGGUGGCGCAUCAUCUUGGAUAUUCUGGGGAUGUAAGGCAUGUGGCGGUCAUGUCAAAUAUGGCCUUCCGCGGCAGCCAUGUCACGUUCAUGCAAAGGCCCCACUUGACGUUCAAGCGCAUCGAUCAAACACGACGAGCGCCGCGUUCCUGAUCUCUCAAUUAGUGCUGGCGUGCCAUUUAUCUCUACACUAUCUUUAUGGCUCGGGGAUCCGCCGCCGAUGGAUGCUGGCGACCCGCCACCCACGCUACUGGCAGGGGGCGGGAUGGAGCUGACUUCAAGUACUCGAGUGGCACCACUCAGCAAGCAAGGCAGAGCGGUUGUCAGGUGUCGACACACUGGUGGAAGCGUGAGAGCAUCCCGUGGUGUGGCGUCGCUUGCUUGCGCUGACGAUUUACCUUGGCUAGCUCGAGUACACGCAAAGUAGUCGAGUAGAUCACACACACAGUGGCAAGUGUCGAGCUUGCCUCUUUGUUGUUUGCACUCCUGGUAAGCAGAUUGAGUGCGAGCGGCGGGGGGGGGGGGGUACACACGCAGCAGGGGCGCACCUCCGCUCAUGGUCGUGUGAAGAUGAUGCCUGUGUCUCACCCCCCCCCCCCUCCUCGGGAUCAGAAACACCUCCCUUCUUCCCUGUGCCAGCCCGCUAACGUGUCUUGAAUUAUUCAUGCGGCAGAGAGGGUCACACGCAGCACAUAAUGAGGAUUUUGCAAUUGUGAUGCGCUUAAUCUGCAUUUAGCGCAGAGUAAGCGGGAGACUGAAGAACUUCAUUGCUAGGCGCCUCCUCGAGAUCCGGUGUUUGGCCACAUUGUCAUCUCCUGCAGAAAGGAGGCGGGCCAUCCCCCUGAUGACAUGUCAUUUCCUGCUGAGGAGAAACAGCAGGCGACUGUUGCCUCCUGGUGGACACUAAAUGGAGUUCCAACUGAAAUUGCUCACCCCAACCAGAGUGACAGUCACUUUUUCCUGUCACAAAUAUAAUCCGAGUACCACAAUGACGCAUUUAUUCUGCUGUGUUUUGUACAUUUCUGGACAUGCAAACCGCAAGAUACAGACAAGACACUUUUGCACUUAAAAAUAUACUUGGGCAGAAAGCAACAUUACAUUUUAGGCUGCACCCUCCUGUUGCCAAAUAGUGGGCGUGUCACGUUCAGGGCUAAUAUAUACCACGUGGCUAUUUUAGGCUCGGGGAUGAAUGACCAGCGCGAGCCCUAAUUUGGUACCAACGCACGCUUUCUUAUUUAGUUUUUUUUCUUUUGUGUUUUGAUUUACUCACAAGGCCUUGUGUUUGUCCUCAGCAAGGAUCUGAUCGUUGGGCUUCAGUCCGUACCUUUUCAAGACACAAAGUAGACCAAUUUUGGUGCCGUUACUCACAGACAAAUGGAGAUAUGACGGAAAUUAGACAAGGCCGCUUCACUUACUUAUUGAGGAAGUCUUUGUCCACCACUGCAAUAAUGUCCAGUAGGGGAUUGCCCAUCCCAAAGAGUGUGUUUUCACUUAAGAUACAAAAAAGUACAACAAACAGCUGCUUAGCGAGAGCUUUUGUAGAGUCAAAUGAGGUUUAAAUUAGGAAUAAGAAUCACAUGAAAAAUUGCAGAGCCAGUCAGAUUUGAUUUUUCCAAAAUAGAAUUACCAGAAUAAAUUAAAUCUCAUCAUAAAAAAAUAACAGAAUAUAAAAUAACUGCUUGAUUUAACAGUGUUUGAGGAAAAUGUUUUCAUAAAAUCUAUCCUCGUCAUAUAGUCGUGGGUUGUAAAUGUGGUAUCUGUGGGCAAAGUCUGUCACGAUUACAUGUUGCUCACCCUUCAGCACAAACUGGUGAAAAAAGUUACAUUGAAGCAGAUAAAAUUAAACAACAACAAAAAAGUUA
This is a long non-coding RNA of Syngnathus acus (greater pipefish), 3140 nucleotides long. RefSeq lists it as uncharacterized. The transcript is spliced from 2 exons. The record is from RefSeq and is a predicted model, not a curated record. Lineage: Eukaryota; Metazoa; Chordata; Actinopteri; Syngnathiformes; Syngnathidae.